RNAcentral lists this unclassified non-coding RNA (2472 nucleotides) under Hevea brasiliensis (rubber tree). The record is from RNAcentral. Lineage: Eukaryota; Viridiplantae; Streptophyta; Magnoliopsida; Malpighiales; Euphorbiaceae.
CCCCAAUAAAACAAACUGCUUCAGAACCCCAAAGAGGAUGAAGCAACAAUAAAAAGAACUUACAAAGGUUCAUAUAACCAAAACAAAAAACUAGUCACAAAAAAUGCAAAACAAAAGAAGUACUAAGAGAAAAGCAAUAAAAUUAUCAGAAAGAAGCACUCCUUGCUUAGCUUGAUUAUCCGCAAAAACAUUAGCCUCACGAGGGAUGUGUUUAACCAGCAGAGCUGGAAGAUGACUCUUGCAUUCAAUGAUAGAGUUGACCACUGAAGAGAGCCUCCAAGGAGCAGACUCCAAGUUAUGAAACCAAGAAACAGCAUUCAUCGGAUCUGAUUCAAUGAGGAUGGAGCUAACUGAAAAAAGAUCUCCUACUUGCUGACACUAACUUCAAGAGCCUCUGAGAUAACUAAAAGUUAUGCAGCAUUUGAGUCAAUGAUAACAACAAAACAAGAAAAUAGGCAGAUGAUAUUCCCAAACGAGUCCCUCAAUACACCACAAAUACCUGACCUCCCUGGUUUUCCGAUUGAAGAACCGUCAACAUUCCAUUUAAAGGAAUCGGACGGCAGAGGAGACCAGGAAACAGCAGGCCUCGAUCUCACUUGAUUUUUCCAGCACUUGACAGCAUCUACAGUGACCAAAAGAUUAGCUCCUGAGAAGGGGAAUGAUGCAUCCAAAGCUCUCAUCUAGGUAGCCACUCGGAAUAAAAUGAGUGAGCAUAAAGAAAUGGUGUCCGUCUCCUUGCUAUUAAAAACCAUAUCAUUACGUGAUAACCAUAGGGACCAUACAAUUGCAUAAAAUAAGUUGAGCCAGAAUUUACGCUGAAAGUUCCCAUAAUAAAGAGAGUUCCACUCAUUCAAAAGCGCAUCCACAGUUUUAGGAAGACAAAAUUUCAGAUCCCACCAGCUAAAAAACCAGUUCCACACUGUCCAGGAAUGAUAACAAUGGAGGAAGAGAUACGAGACAGAUUCCGAAGCAUCAGAACAGAGGGGAAAACCACUCUGCGAAGGGGAAAUGAUGUUAAUUGAGCUUAAUCGCCCUCUACAGCAAAGGCGAUCCCUGCAGGCCAACCAAACUAGUAGUUCCACUUUGGGUGGCAGGAGACCCUGCCAAAGUGAUGAGGAACAGAAGGAAACUUGAGUGGAAGCAUUAAUAAGACAAGAAUAUAGAGAAUGCACAGAGAAUGUUCCAUUUGUAGCCAGUUUCCAGACAAGCUUAUCCUUCCUACUUCUGCAAAGAUUAACAGAAUUGAGAAGAGCCAAAAGCUGAUCCAAAGAGCCAUUUUCCCAAGUGAACAGUGACUUGCGCUAUAAUAGCCUCUACGUCCAGACGUCGUUUUGCCACAACCCCAUUUCACUAACAACUGCCUCCUGAUUUGAAGAAAUAGAGAAUAGUCGAGGAAAAGAGAAUUUUAGAGGUGCCUCACCUAUCCAUUUAUCAUGCCAGAAAUAUAUUUUUUCUCCAUUCCCUAACACGAAUAAUAUAUUAUCAAAGAUAUUAAAUCCAUUGAUAUUGAAUGCCAUGGAUUCCUAAAUGUUUUUCCAUACUGAAGAGAUUGGCCCACCAGUCACAAGUUGAAGGCCAGAGUCUUUAUGAAAAGAAUACUUAGAUUGCAAUGUAUUGACCCAAACUGCCUCAGGUUGCUGCUGUAAUCUCCAGAGCCAUUUAAAUAACAAGGAUUGGUUGUGGAGUAAAAUAUUUGAAAACCUAAUGCCCCAUUCUUUUUUGGUAGCAACAAAGUGUUCCGAUCAAUAAGAUGAAUUCUCCUUUCAUUCCCACCACCAGACCAGAGAAAGUUUCGCAUCAGUUUUUCAAUUUUCUUUAUAACUUUCUUGGGAAUCUUAAAUACCGAAAGGUAAUAAAUAGGCAGAUUUGACAGACACGAUUUGAUUAACGUUAUCUUACCUGCCAUGGAUAGAACUUUCCCUUUCCAGAAUGCAAGGUUACUUUCAAUUUUGCUGAUGAUGGGCUGCCAUGUGGAUGCUGGAUUUGCGUUUGCUCCUAGAGGGAACCCCAAAUAUUUGAUAGGAAGUGACCCAACUUGACAACCAGCUAUAUCCGCGGCCGUUUCUAGGACUUGUUCAUCCACAUUGAUUCCAAUGAGAAUGCUCUUACUAAAAUUAACUUUCAGACCUGAAAGGAGUUGAAACCAACGAAGUACUCGAGAGAUGGCAGCAAUUUAAAGAGGAUUUGGAGGGGAAAAGAGCAGCUUAUCAUCUGCAAAUUACUGGUGAGAAAUCAUCAACGCUUGGGAACCAACUAAAACUCCAUUGAGCCAUCCUUGGGAACAAGCUUCAUCAAUCAUUAAAGAGAGAGGCUCUGCAGCAAUAAUGAAUAACAAUGGCGAUAAGGGAUCGCCUUGCCGAAACCCAUUGCUGAUACAAAAUUCUUCUGUAGGGCGCCUAUUAAUUCGAAUGGUAUGCAAGCAUUUGAGAUGCAAGUGUGAAUCCACCUUCUCCAUUUAAUGCCAAAGCCCAU